GGAUUAUUUUCACAGUGGCUAUUUGCAACCAUGGCACACGGUCCUUCCUCAGGUUGCUUGAUCUCUCCUUCAGUCAAAGAGCGCUGGACUGAGGUCUGGAAACCCGCUGAGAGGCCACAAUUCUUCACGGUGGGGAAGAACUCUCAAGAAUUCCCCAGGCUGAAGGAUGAUACCUAAAGAAAGAACACACCUAGAUCAGAGGACACUGUGUAAAGCUGGAGUUUAGACCUUGUUGGAGG
This 239-nucleotide long non-coding RNA is filed under the name Suricata suricatta (meerkat). Its description in RNAcentral is "lncRNA (ENSSSUG00005007978.1)". Lineage: Eukaryota; Metazoa; Chordata; Mammalia; Carnivora; Herpestidae. The record is from RNAcentral.